UACGUAGGGGGCGAGCGUUGUCCGGAUUUAUUGGGCGUAAAGGGUUCGUAGGCGGUGCGGCAAGUUGGGAGUGAAAUCUCUGGGCUUAACCCAGAGGCUGCUUCCAAAACUGCUGUGCUUGAGUGUGGGAGAGGCGCGUGGAAUUGCAGGUGUAGCGGUGAAAUGCGUAGAUAUCUGCAGGAACACCCGUGGCGAAAGCGGCGCGCUGGACCACUACUGACGCUGAGGAACGAAAGCUAGGGGAGCAAACAGG
RNAcentral lists this ribosomal RNA (253 nucleotides) under uncultured bacterium. RNAcentral's name for it is "partial 16S ribosomal RNA". It matches the Rfam family "Bacterial small subunit ribosomal RNA", at positions 524 to 776 of the family's 1533-position model. The record is from RNAcentral.